UACGUAGGGUGCAAGCGUUGUCCGGAAUUAUUGGGCGUAAAGAGCUCGUAGGCGGUUUUGUUGCGUCGGCUGUGAAAUCCCGAGGCUCAACCUCGGGUCUGCAGUCGAUACGAGCAAACUAGAGUGUUGCAGGGGAGACUGGAAUUCCUGGUGUAGCGGUGAAAUGCGCAGAUAUCAGGAGGAACACCGGUGGCGAAGGCGGGUCUCUGGGCAACAACUGACGCUGAGGAGCGAAAAGCGUGGGGGAGCGAAACAGG
RNAcentral lists this ribosomal RNA (257 nucleotides) under uncultured bacterium. RNAcentral's name for it is "partial 16S ribosomal RNA". It matches the Rfam family "Bacterial small subunit ribosomal RNA", at positions 524 to 776 of the family's 1533-position model. The record is from RNAcentral.